GAUUGAAGUACGCAUAUAAAUUCGGAAGGGCCCUCUAAUUAUUUAUUCUAUAAAUAUAUACAUAUUGAUGUUUACAAAUAGUAUAAAUAUACCAUUGAACAAUAGUAAUCACAGAAAUUAAGCAGUUAUUAACGAAAAUAUUAUAACCGAACCUAAAAAAAUAAGAAACAGAAAAAACAAACAUGUAAAAAUAUAGCUAAUAGCGCACACCAUC
This 214-nucleotide long non-coding RNA is filed under the name Mytilus galloprovincialis (Mediterranean mussel). Lineage: Eukaryota; Metazoa; Mollusca; Bivalvia; Mytilida; Mytilidae. The record is from RNAcentral.